GUGCUCGCUUUGACAGCACAUACACUAAAAUUGGAAUGAUACAGGCAAGAAUAGCAUGGCCCCCGCAAAAGGAUGACACACAAAUUCGUGAAGUAUUCCAUGUUUUU
Molecule: small nuclear RNA, 107 nt
Organism: Manis pentadactyla (Chinese pangolin)
Lineage: Eukaryota; Metazoa; Chordata; Mammalia; Pholidota; Manidae
Source: RefSeq, a predicted model, not a curated record